This 253-nucleotide ribosomal RNA is filed under the name uncultured bacterium. RNAcentral's name for it is "partial 16S ribosomal RNA". It matches the Rfam family "Bacterial small subunit ribosomal RNA", at positions 524 to 776 of the family's 1533-position model. The record is from RNAcentral.
UACGGGGGGGGCAAGCGUUGUUCGGAAUUACUGGGCGUAAAGGGCUCGUAGGUGGCCAACUAAGUCAGACGUGAAAUCCCUCGGCUUAACCGGGGAACUGCGUCUGAUACUGGAUGACUUGAGUUCGGGAGAGGGAUGCGGAAUUCCAGGUGUAGCGGUGAAAUGCGUAGAUAUCUGGAGGAACACCGGUGGCGAAGGCGGCAUCCUGGACCGACACUGACGCUGAGGAGCGAAAGCCAGGGGAGCAAACGGG